AGACUUCUAGCAGCCACACAGUGAGGUCUUGAGCUGAUGUGUUUCAAGGCUAUACAAGUAAUAGAGGCAGCAGUUAUGGCCUCCUAGGGGAAGGUGAUAACCUAAGAACAUAAGUGGGGAGUGGGGGAGGAUGUUAGGACAGCAGCUAAUGGGGCUGGAGGCCAGGACAGGUCUCCAGUCCUAGAGACGCAAAGAACAAAGGCAGAAGAGGAGAGAGCAAGAAGGCCAGCCACAACAGGACCCAGAGCAGGGUGAAGCUGCAGCCCAGCGCUCACCUGGGAACCCAGACUCCAAAAGGGAAGAUGGCCUGCUGGCACUUUGAUUUUAGUCUGACGAGACCCACACCAGACCUCUGACCUACAAACUGUGAGUGCCAUUCCUGGGCUUUUUGCCCACUGUGAAGACUCCUUUAAUGAGCCCUGGAGCAGCUGCUUGUGCAGAAGCUGCAGUAAGACACAGACAACAGAAAACAACAGUUGAUGGAGGUGUUUCAUCACCAUUUUAGAGAGAUGAAGAAACUAAGGGUCAUAGAGACUAAAGAGUGCUUGAGAUCACGGUGGUGGAGUCGAGUCUCUGAACACCCUGCUCGCCAGUAUAAAAGAACUCACGUGUGCUGUCAUGUGUUCGAAGCCCACGUGCAAAUUGUGGGAAAGGAAAUGA
This 660-nucleotide long non-coding RNA is filed under the name Equus asinus (donkey). Its description in RNAcentral is "lncRNA (ENSEASG00005036139.1, ENSEASG00020005367.1)". The record is from RNAcentral. Lineage: Eukaryota; Metazoa; Chordata; Mammalia; Perissodactyla; Equidae.